RNAcentral lists this ribosomal RNA (980 nucleotides) under Klebsiella pneumoniae. RNAcentral's name for it is "bacterial SSU rRNA". It matches the Rfam family "Bacterial small subunit ribosomal RNA", at positions 477 to 1451 of the family's 1533-position model. Lineage: Bacteria; Pseudomonadati; Pseudomonadota; Gammaproteobacteria; Enterobacterales; Enterobacteriaceae. The record is from RNAcentral.
CGGGCAGAAGAAAGCCACCGGCUAACUUCCGUGCCAGCAGCCGCGGUAAUACGGAGGGUGCAAGCGUUAAUCGGAAUUACUGGGCGUAAAGCGCACGCAGGCGGUCUGUCAAGUCGGAUGUGAAAUCCCCGGGCUCAACCCUGGGAACUGCAUUCGAAACUGGCCAGGCCAGAGUCUUGUAGAGGGGGGUAGAAUUCCAGGUGUAGCGGUGAAAUGCGUAGAGAUCUGGAGGGAAUACCGGUGGCGAAGGCGGCCCCCCUGGACAAAGACUGACGCUCAGGUGCGAAAGCGUGGGGAGCAAACAGGACCAGAUACCCUGGUAGUCCACGCCGUAAACGAUGUCGAUUUGGAGGUUGUGCCCUUGAGGCGUGGCUUCCGGAGCUAACGCGUUAAAUCGACCGCCUGGGGAGUACGGCCGCAAGGUUAAAACUCAAAUGAAUUGACGGGGGCCCGCACAAGCGGUGGAGCAUGUGGUUUAAUUCGAUGCAACGCGAAGAACCUUACCUGGUCUUGACAUCCACAGAACUUAGCAGAGAUGCUUUGGUGCCUUCGGGAACUGUGAGACAGGUGCUGCAUGGCUGUCGUCAGCUCGUGUUGUGAAAUGCCGGGUUAAGUCCCGCAACGAGCGCAACCCUUAUCCUUUGUUGCCAGCGGUCCGGCCGGGAACUCAAAGGAGACUGCCAGUGAUAAACUGGAGGAAGGUGGGGAUGACGUCAAGUCAUCAUGGCCCUUACGACCAGGGCUACACACGUGCUACAAUGGCAUAUACAAAGAGAAGCGACCUCGCGAGAGCAAGCGGACCUCAUAAAGUAUGUCGUAGUCCGGAUUGGAGUCUGCAACUCGACUCCAUGAAGUCGGAAUCGCUAGUAAUCGUAGAUCAGAAUGCUACGGUGAAUACGUUCCCGGGCCUUGUACACACCGCCCGUCACACCAUGGGAGUGGGUUGCAAAAGAAGUAGGUAGCUUAACCUUCGGGAGGGC